AACGAACGCUGGCGGCGUGCUUAACACAUGCAAGUCGAACGCGAACGUUUUCUUCGGAAAACUAGUAGAGUGGCGCACGGGUGAGUAACGCGUAAGUAAUCUACCCUGGCAUCUGGGAUAACCCACCGAAAGGUGUGCUAAUACCGGAUACGCUGAUUUAUCAGGAAAGGUGGCCUCUUCAUGAAAGCUACUGUGCCGGGAGGAGCUUGCGUACCAUUAGCUAGUUGGUGGGGUAAUGGCCUACCAAGGCGACGAUGGUUAGCGGGUCUGAGAGGAUGAUCCGCCACACUGGAACUGGAACACGGACCAGACUCCUACGGGAGGCAGCAGUGAGGAAUAUUGCGCAAUGGGGGAAACCCUGACGCAGCGACGCCGCGUGAGUGAGGAAGGCCUUCGGGUCGUAAAGCUCUGUCAGAAGGGAAGAAGUGUUAGAUGGUUAAUACCCAUGUAAUUUGACGGUACCUUCAGAGGAAGCACCGGCUAACUCCGUG
RNAcentral lists this ribosomal RNA (491 nucleotides) under uncultured bacterium. Its description in RNAcentral is "bacterial SSU rRNA". It matches the Rfam family "Bacterial small subunit ribosomal RNA", at positions 29 to 507 of the family's 1533-position model. The record is from RNAcentral.